RNAcentral lists this ribosomal RNA (464 nucleotides) under uncultured bacterium. RNAcentral describes it as "partial 16S ribosomal RNA". It matches the Rfam family "Bacterial small subunit ribosomal RNA", at positions 29 to 507 of the family's 1533-position model. The record is from RNAcentral.
ACGAACGCUGGCGGCGUGCUUAACACAUGCAAGUCGAACGGAAAGGCCCCUUUGGGGGUACUCGAGUGGCGAACGGGUGAGUAACACGUGAGUAACCUGCCCUUGACUUCGGGAUAACUUCAGGAAACUGGGGCUAAUACCGGAUAGGAAUCCUUGCUGCAUGGUGGGGGUUGGAAAGCUUCGGCGGUUUUGGAUGGACUCGCGGCUUAUCAGCUUGUUGGUGGGGUAGUGGCUUACCAAGGCUUUGACGGGUAGCCGGCCUGAGAGGGCGACCGGCCACAUUGGGACUGAGAUACGGCCCAGACUCCUACGGGAGGCAGCAGUGGGGAAUAUUGCACAAUGGGCGGAAGCCUGAUGCAGCAACGCCGCGUGCGGGAUGGCGGCCUUCGGGUUGUAAACCGCUUUCAGCAGGGGCGAAGCUUGUGGUGACGGUACCUGCAGAAGAAGCACCGGCUAACUACGUG